GAUGAACGCUGGCGGCGUGCUUAACACAUGCAAGUCGAACGGAAAGGCCCAAGCUUGCUUGGGUACUCGAGUGGCGAACGGGUGAGUAACACGUGGGUGAUCUGCCCUGCACUUCGGGAUAAGCCUGGGAAACUGGGUCUAAUACCGGAUAGGUCCUCAUGUUGGAUGGUGUGGUGGAAAGUUUUUCGGUUUGGGAUGAUCUCGCGGGCUAUCAGCUUGUUGGUGGGGUAAUGGCCUACCAAGGCGUCGACGGGUAGCCGGCCUGAGAGGGUGUACGGCCACAUUGGGACUCUGAUACGGUCCCGACGCCUACGGGAGGCAGCAGUGGGGCAUAUUGAACAAUGGGGGCGAGCCUGAUGCAGCGAGGCCGCGUGGGGGAUGACGGCAUUCGGGUUGUAAACUCCUGUCGCUAGGGACGAAGCGUUUUUGUGACGGUACCUGGAGAAGAAGCACCGGCUAACUACGUG
This 467-nucleotide ribosomal RNA is filed under the name uncultured bacterium. RNAcentral's name for it is "partial 16S ribosomal RNA". It matches the Rfam family "Bacterial small subunit ribosomal RNA", at positions 28 to 507 of the family's 1533-position model. The record is from RNAcentral.